This 406-nucleotide ribosomal RNA is filed under the name uncultured bacterium. RNAcentral describes it as "partial 16S ribosomal RNA". It matches the Rfam family "Bacterial small subunit ribosomal RNA", at positions 28 to 526 of the family's 1533-position model. The record is from RNAcentral.
GAUGAACGCUAGCUACAGGCUUAACACAUGCAAGUCGAGGGACCGGCGCACGGGUGAGUAAUACGUAUCCAUCCUGCCCUUUACUCGGGGAUAGCCUUUCGAAAGAAAGAUUAAUACCCGAUAUAAAGGAUGGGGAUGCGUUCGAUUAGGUUGUUGGUGAGGUAACGGCUCACCAAGCCUCCGAUGGAUAGGGGUUCUGUGAGGAAGGGCCCCCGCAGUGGAACUAAGGCGCGGGCGAAACUCCUACGGGAGGGAGCAGUGAGUAAUAUAGGGAAAGGGGCGCUAGCUUGAACCAGCCAAGUAGCGUGAAGGAUGAAGGCUUAUGGGUCGUAAUCUUCUUUUAUAUAAGAAUCGGUAUUAGAUGAAUAAGGAGCGGCUAACUCCGUGCCAGCAGCCGCGGUAAUAC